RNAcentral lists this ribosomal RNA (111 nucleotides) under uncultured bacterium. Its description in RNAcentral is "partial 16S ribosomal RNA". It matches the Rfam family "Bacterial small subunit ribosomal RNA", at positions 1363 to 1482 of the family's 1533-position model. The record is from RNAcentral.
UGAAUACGUUCCCGGACCUUGUACACACCGCCCGUCAAGCCAUGGAAGCUGGGUGUACCUAAAGUCGAUAACCGCAAGGAGUCGCCUAGGGUAAAACUAGUAACUGGGGCU